RNAcentral lists this long non-coding RNA (1003 nucleotides) under Olea europaea subsp. europaea. The record is from RNAcentral. Lineage: Eukaryota; Viridiplantae; Streptophyta; Magnoliopsida; Lamiales; Oleaceae.
CCAAAAAUUCUCUCUCUCUACUUUCUCUCUCAUCUCACUCGCUCUCUCCAUUUCUCUUUCAUCUCACCUCUCAACUGCCGAAUAUCAACAAGGGAAAUAAAAAGUGAAUCCCGGCGUCGGAGUGAAGCCAAUUGAAGCCAUGUCACCCUCACCAUUCUCUACUCCAACGAUGCCAACGACUCUCCCUCUCCUCUUCUCUCCUAUUUUUGCAGCAAAUCCACUGAGUUGUGUGGUGGCGGUGUAACAUUGGUAGUUGUGGUGAUUCAAAGGGAUGGCUGUGGUUUGUUUGAAGUGUUGCGGUGGGUUGUUUGAGGUAUUGUCGUGGUGUCUAAUCUGGCGGUCGAGGUGGCUAUGGUGGUGUGUGAGCGUCGUCGGAGGCUUGCAGAUCGCGAUGGACAACUGCAGAUCCUGGGGUUGAUGACGCAAAUUGUGGCGGUGAUGACGCAGAUCGUAGCUAUGGCGGUGUAGAUCGUGGUAUUGAUUUUUUCUCUUGGUUGUUGGAUGCGGUGCAGGCGAUGACAGCAUGGUGUUGGUGACGACAACGUUGGUGCUAAUCGGGUAGAUCAGUAAUGUCUAUAACCAGUAAAUUGCUUGACUCCGUUGUGGUGGUUGUGGAAAUGGGUGACGUUGGCAGUGCUGGCUGUGGCGUUUGUGGUGGUGAUUUAAGGAAAUGGGCAAAUGCGAUUUGGGGUGGGUUUUGUUGGCUGCGAUGGCAGCGGUGGUGGUGGUGCUGAAAAUUGUAACUGUACCUGUGACUCUCAAUUGUGACUCGUAAUUGGAUAUGUGACUUGAAAAUUGUGACUAUGACUCCCAAUUGUGACUCACAAUUAGUGAUGGCAACGGGGCGGGGCAAUUUUCUUGCCCCGUUUCUUGCACCGUUUAACUUUUUAUUUUAAUUUCGAAUUUAAUAAAAUACGGAAAACAUUCAAGUUGAACUUUUAAUAAAGAAUGCUCUUACUUUAUGUAAAUUUAAGUUUUUGUUUUGGGAUAAAAUUACUUAUAG